GUCUACGGCCAUGCCACCCUGAACAAGCCAGAUCCCAUCUGACCUUAAAGCUAAGCAGGGUCAGGCCUGGUUAGCACUUGGAUAGGAGACCACCUAGAAAGACCAGGAGCUGUAGGCU
RNAcentral lists this ribosomal RNA (118 nucleotides) under Pteropus alecto (black flying fox). The record is from RNAcentral. Lineage: Eukaryota; Metazoa; Chordata; Mammalia; Chiroptera; Pteropodidae.